UUUGGUUAAGUUAGAAAGGGCGCACGGUGGAUGCCUUGACACUAGGAGUCGAUGAAGGACGGGACUAACGCCGAUAUGCUUCGGGGAGCUGUAAGUAAGC
This 100-nucleotide ribosomal RNA is filed under the name Bacillus cereus. Its description in RNAcentral is "partial 23S ribosomal RNA". It matches the Rfam family "Bacterial large subunit ribosomal RNA", at positions 1 to 97 of the family's 2925-position model. The record is from RNAcentral. Lineage: Bacteria; Bacillati; Bacillota; Bacilli; Caryophanales; Bacillaceae.